UACGAAGGGAGCUAGCGUUGUUCGGAAUCACUGGGCGUAAAGCGCACGUAGGCGGAUGUGUCAGUCAGGGGUGAAAUCCCGGAGCUCAACUUCGGAACUGCCUUUGAUACAGCACAUCUGGAGUCCGGAAGAGGUGGGUGGAAUUCCUAGUGUAGAGGUGAAAUUCGUAGAUAUUCGGAAGAACACCAGUGGCGAAGGCGGCUCACUGGCCCGGUACUGACGCUGAGGUGCGAAAGCGUGGGGAGCAAACAGG
This 253-nucleotide ribosomal RNA is filed under the name uncultured bacterium. RNAcentral describes it as "partial 16S ribosomal RNA". It matches the Rfam family "Bacterial small subunit ribosomal RNA", at positions 524 to 776 of the family's 1533-position model. The record is from RNAcentral.